GUCGGUCUGGCCGAGCGGUCAAAGCGCUGCGUUCAGGUCGCAUUCUACUUCGGUAGGCGCAGGUUCGAAUCCUGCGUCGGACA
RNAcentral lists this transfer RNA (83 nucleotides) under Toxocara canis (dog roundworm). It matches the Rfam family "tRNA". Rfam says of the family: Transfer RNA (tRNA) molecules are approximately 80 nucleotides in length. Their secondary structure includes four short double-helical elements and three loops (D, anti-codon, and T loops). The record is from Rfam by way of RNAcentral. Lineage: Eukaryota; Metazoa; Nematoda; Chromadorea; Rhabditida; Toxocaridae.